UACGAAUGUGGCGAGCGUUGUUCGGAAUCACUGGGCGUAAAGAGUACGUAGGCGGUUUGACAAGUCAGGAGUGAAAUCCCCAGGCUCAACCUGGGAACUGCUCUUGAAACUGUCAGACUAGAAGCUCGGAGAGGUUGGCGGAAUUCUCAGUGUAGAGGUGAAAUUCGCAGAUAUUGAGAGGAACACCAGUGGCGUAAGCGGCCAACUGGACGAGUAUUGACGCUGAGGUACGAAAGCGUGGGGAUCAAACAGG
This 253-nucleotide ribosomal RNA is filed under the name uncultured bacterium. RNAcentral describes it as "partial 16S ribosomal RNA". It matches the Rfam family "Bacterial small subunit ribosomal RNA", at positions 524 to 776 of the family's 1533-position model. The record is from RNAcentral.